UUAGAGUUUGAUCCUGGCUCAGGAUGAACGCUAACGGGAUGCCUAACACAUGCAAGUCGUGCGAUCGGCUAGACCUUCGGGUCUAGUACGGAGCGGCGAACGGGCGAGUAACGCGUGGGUAAUCUACCUUCAAGUGGGGGAUAACCCUGGGAAACUGGGGCUAAUACCCCAUAUUCUUAUAGGGCGUUGUGCUCUAUAAGGAAAGGAGCAACUCGCUCUGCUUGAAGAGGAGCCUGCGUCCUAUCAGCUAGUUGGUGAGGUAAUGGCUCACCAAGGCUACGACGGGUAGCCGGCCUGAGAGGGUGACCGGCCGCAAGGGGACUGAGACACGGCCCCUAUCCCUACGGGGGGCAGCAGUGGGGAAUCGUAGGCAAUGCCCGAAAGGGUGACCACGCAAUCCCGUGUGCAGGAUGAAGCCCUUCGGGGUGUAAACUGCUGUCAGGAGGGACGAUGAUGACUGUACCUCCAGAGGAAGGGACGGCUAACUACGUGCCAGCAGCCGCGGUAAUACGUAGGUCCCAAGCGUUAUCCGGAAUUACUGGGCGUAAAGGGUCCGUAGGCGGCUAGGUAAGUCAGUAGAUAAAGCCUGGCUCUCAAGGCCAGAAAAUCUACUGAUACUGCCUAGCUCGAGGACAGGAGAAAACAGGGGAAUUCCCGGUGUAGCGGUGAAAUGCGUAGAUAUCGGAGGAACACCAGUGAGGAAGCUGCCUGUUUGG
RNAcentral lists this ribosomal RNA (716 nucleotides) under uncultured Persephonella sp. RNAcentral describes it as "bacterial SSU rRNA". It matches the Rfam family "Bacterial small subunit ribosomal RNA", at positions 1 to 732 of the family's 1533-position model. Lineage: Bacteria; Pseudomonadati; Aquificota; Aquificia; Aquificales; Hydrogenothermaceae. The record is from RNAcentral.